CCUACGGGUGACAGCAGUGAGGAAUAUUGGUCAAUGGGCGCGAGCCUGAACCAGCCAAGUCGCGUGAGGGAAGACGGCCCUAUGGAUUGUAAACCUCUUUUAUCGGGGAGCAAAAGACGCCACGCGUGGCGUUCCGCGAGUACCCGAAGAAAAAGCAUCGGCUAACUCCGUGCCAGCAGCCGCGGUAAUACGGAGGAUGCGAGCGUUAUCCGGAUUUAUUGGGUUUAAAGGGUGCGCAGGCGGAAUGUCAAGUCAGCGGUAAAAUUUAGGGGCUCAACCGCGUCGUGCCGUUGAAACUGGUGUUCUUGAGUGAGUGAGAAGUAUGCGGAAUGCGUGGUGUAGCGGUGAAAUGCAUAGAUAUCACGCAGAACUCCGAUUGCGAAGGCAGCAUACCGGCGCUCAACUGACGCUCAUGCACGAAAGUGUGGGUAUCGAACAGGAUUAGAUACCCUAGUAGUC
Molecule: ribosomal RNA, 459 nt
Filed under: uncultured bacterium
Lineage: Bacteria
Description: partial 16S ribosomal RNA
Rfam family: Bacterial small subunit ribosomal RNA
Source: RNAcentral